Molecule: long non-coding RNA, 150 nt
Organism: Mobula hypostoma (lesser devil ray)
Lineage: Eukaryota; Metazoa; Chordata; Chondrichthyes; Myliobatiformes; Myliobatidae
Exons: 3
Source: RefSeq, a predicted model, not a curated record
GCAAGCCAAAAUGAAGACGACUAGGAGUGGCUCAGCUGCACAGAAUAAACUCUCGAAGGAUUCGCCAUUGUGUUGUUCAGACUAUUUACCCCAACAAGCAGGUGGCUGGGGUUCUGUCGGAGCCCAUGAUCUACAGCUGCGCUCAAACUA